GGAUAAAGAAAAUGUGGUAUAUAUGCACAGUGAAAUACUAUUUGGCCAUAAAAAAGAAUGAAAUCCUGCGAUUUGUGACAACAUGAGUGAACCUGAAGAGCACUAUGUUAAGUGAAAUAAGCCAAGCACAGGUAGACAAAUACUACAUGAGCUCACUCAUAUGGAAUCCAAAAAGGUGUUCUCAUAGAAGUAGAGGGUAAAAUAGAGGUGAGGAGAGGAUAAGGGAAGUGGGGAAGUGGAGACAGGGAGCAAGUGGUCAGUAGGUACAAAAUUACAGUUAGAUAGGAUGAGUAAGUUCUGAUGUUUAUUGAAGCAUAGGAUGAAUAGAGUUAACACUAAUGCAUUCUACAUUUCACAAUAAUACCUACUUUCCCCAGUUGCUGUGAAGACCUGAGAAAAUGUAGAACGCCUGCCAUAAUAAUUAGCAUGUCAUUGGUGUUAGGUCUGGUGGAGGGUAAACAGCUGGCAAGGAAGUGACUAAGGGCGGAAAGUGGGAACCGAAUUGUGCUAGGAACCAAAUUGCAGAUGGGAACUGUUUCCUGGUGGGAACAUACAUAGUAAGAAGUCCCCAGUGACCUUUAACUGAUCUAGAGCUUAUUACCAUCUAAUUAGCAUAACAUGGGUGGAGCCUUGUGAAGAAUUCUGGGGAAGACAAACGGGUAGAAAGGGAAACUGUUACAUAACCAACCGGUUAGGUAACCUGUCAUGUGAUCUGUUAUAUAACACCAAGCUGUCAAUCACCCCAAAAGGCUAGGAAACAGCAACCAAUCCUGCCAGGAGAAAGGCGGGACAAGCUAGUGCGCAUAUAAAAGACAGGGUGUACUCAGAUGUCCUCUUUCUCACUGACCCAGUCCACCAUCUGUAGAAGCAAGAGGAAUGAUUUAUUUGUCAAGAGCUAUGAGAAAACAACAAAGCAGCAAGCUUGAGAUGAAAAUAUCUAUGUCAAGGAUUACUCUGAGGAUUGAACAAGAUGAGGAACAGCAAGUCAGUGAGGUUAAGUGAUUUCUCUAUCCAGCUAGUAAGUGAUGAAGCCAGGACUUUAACCCAGAUCAUCUGACUCAAAAUCCCAUGGUGGAAAUACUAAGGGCUCGCAGAGUCUCACAACCAUUGGGUAUUCCGUGACAACUGGGCCUGAUCUUGGAGGUGGAGAAACAAGCGUAAGGACAAGGGUUACAUUACUUUCCCUCUCCAGGUGCGGGGAGAGGUCAGAGGUUCGUGGGAAACUGCCGCAGAUACUGAGGAAGGGUCUCAUGACAAGAGCGCUUGGUCCCUCCCUGAUCAAUACCUGAUCAGUUAACUAGGAGUUGCAUCAGUCCUGUUGCAACAUUCUCGGAAAACAGAAAAGUCCACAGUGCAAAUGGCACAGGUCCGUAAUUUGGAGGAUUUGGGGGUGGGGGUGACACUGAGAUGAAGGUGUCUAUCAUUUUAUAAAAUCACAGCCAGAAACACAAUGGCUCCCCAAAUAUUUUUCCCUACGCUUCUCCUCUUUCUUUAGGAAGAGGAAAUAUAUAUAUUAAUAUAUGUAUACAUAUUUAAACCACUUAAUUGAGGUAUAACUGACAUACAAAAAGCUGUACAUACAUAUUUUAUGUGUACACCUUGAUGAUUUUGGGGAAAGCAUACACCCGAGAAACCAUCAAUGACAUAAACCUGUCACCUCCAAAAGUUUCCUCCCGCCUUCUCAUUUAUUAUUAAUAUUAUUUUUGUGUCUCUACCGCUCUUGUUAAUACUGCUGAAGUGAUUCUAUCUAAGACAGUACCAGAAGCAACAUGGGAUGUCUUUCAAGUUCAAAGCUCAGGUGUGAGUUUCUCAGAGAAAGAAUCCAAGGUGAGUCACUUGUCAUACCCCAGCCCCUCCCGUCUAAAUAAAAACCCAAUGAAGAGAAAUGAUCCAGGCUCCACAGCCGCCUAAUUCACUGUGUCAGCAAAGAGACCAGGAGAUAGCUUAUCUAUAGAUUCAGUCCUUGGACAAUUUUAAUAAUAAAGUUCUUCCUCAGAUAUUCCAUCUUUUAAAACUAUUUUCAUCUGAUAUUUCCAUUUGAUAUACAUUAAUAUUAGAAAUGAAAAGCAGUAGAUGAGUCUACAGCUGAAGUCAAAAGAGAAGGCUUUUUAAACCUACUCUUCCCCUAGGGAAAAUCUGCAUUUCAAUUAAGCACAGUGUAAAUGUCCUAGUCCUAGUUCUCAAGUCUUCUGGCAUUAGCAAUAUUCCCACACCCACAUCAGUAUUUGAUAAAUCACUAGAACAUAGCACAUCAUACGGGUCAAACUGCUUGUAGAGUAAGAACAGCAGCAUUUCUGAAAUUUACUUUCUCCAGUGAUUCUCCUUAGGUGAGCACAAUAUUUAAGAAUAUUCCUAAACAAUGUUCAAUAGGUUAUUGGGUAAUAGGUAAUACCUAUUGCUUCAAUAGGUAAGCAACUGUUAGACGCAUUAACUUCUGCUUCUUUUUGUUUUUAGAGUUUCUUUCUUUGUCUUUUUUUUUUUUUUUUAACUUUCAGGAUUUUACACCAAACACUACUAACUUAGACUUCGUUUAUCGACAGAAAUUACUGAUGUCAAAGAGAAACCUGUGACUCCUUCUGCUCUGUUGCCAAGAGACAGACAUCCCACUCCCAAAGGAAUCAGGGUCUGGGAAUAGGCCAUAACUGUGGAGCAGAAGCAGAUAUGGUGAAAAAUCCCCAUGCUGGUCUCCUUAGAAAUGAGUCUGAAGCAGAAGAACCAGGCAGUACUUAACCAGAGGAGCCAAUCAGUCUUUACACACAGAACAAGCACUUAUUGAGCAUCCACUACUCAAAGGCUUUGAACACUCUGCACAAUUUCCUAACCAGACGUGGCCCACAUGAAUGUUCCCUCUCCUCUGUGCUCUCAAAGCACCCUAUGCUCACGCCUCUCAAAGCACUUUUUAUUCUUUAUUGCAAAUGUUUAUUUCUUCAUCUGUCUCCUUCACUAGCCUUCAAGCUCCUUGAAGGUAAGUCCUGUCAUGUUACUGUUUUUAAUCUCUGUAUAAAAGUCAUAAAACAGCACCAAGCUUGCUGUAGGUGCUCAGUAAAUUUCUAGAGUUAAGUAAAAGAAUGAAGGGCAUAUAAUAUAUGAAGAGCUCCUACAAAUCAGUAAUGAAAAAGACCUAGAAUGCAAAAGAAAAAUGGGUAAAGCACAUGAUGACAGCACAUAGAAAAAGAAGUAUAAAUUACUGCUAUGUAAAUAGACAUUCAAACUCAAUUA
Microcebus murinus (gray mouse lemur) is the source of this 3219-nucleotide non-coding RNA. The record is from RefSeq and is a predicted model, not a curated record. Lineage: Eukaryota; Metazoa; Chordata; Mammalia; Primates; Cheirogaleidae.